This is a non-coding RNA of Nicotiana sylvestris (wood tobacco), 183 nucleotides long. NCBI's taxonomy places the organism in Eukaryota, Viridiplantae, Streptophyta, Magnoliopsida, Solanales, Solanaceae. The record is from Rfam.
AUUGCGGCUGUCUCUAAUUCGCUUGGUGCAGGUCGGGACUAAUUCGCCGGUGGCGGCGGCGGCAAUCACAACGGCGGUGAUUGUUAUUAAAUGGAGAUUAGAUGUACGAAGUUAUCAACAUUUUUUGUUUUGCGGCGAAAUUUGUCCCGCCUUGCAUCAACUGAAUUGGAGACUGCUGUGAAU